AGUGAGCGCUGGCGGUAGGCCUAACACAUGCAAGUCGAACGGCAGCACAGUAAGAGCUUGCUCUUACGGGUGGCGAGUGGCGGACGGGUGAGGAAUACAUCGGAAUCUACUUUUUCGUGGGGGAUAACGUAGGGAAACUUACGCUAAUACCGCAUACGACCUACGGGUGAAAGCAGGGGAUCUUCGGACCUUGCGCGAUUGAAUGAGCCGAUGUCGGAUUAGCUAGUUGGCGGGGUAAAGGCCCACCAAGGCGACGAUCCGUAGCUGGUCUGAGAGGGUGAUCAGCCACACUGGAACUGAGACACGGUCCAGACUCCUACGGGAGGCAGCAGUGGGGAAUAUUGGACAAUGGGCGCAAGCCUGAUCCAGCCAUACCGCGUGGGUGAAGAAGGCCUUCGGGUUGUAAAGCCCUUUUGUUGGGAAAGAAAAGCAGCAGGUUAAUACCCCGCUGUUCUGACGGUACCCAAAGAAUAAGCACCGGCUAACUUCGUG
This 492-nucleotide ribosomal RNA is filed under the name uncultured bacterium. RNAcentral describes it as "partial 16S ribosomal RNA". It matches the Rfam family "Bacterial small subunit ribosomal RNA", at positions 29 to 507 of the family's 1533-position model. The record is from RNAcentral.